CGAAAGUGUUUAAGUCAGCAGUACAGAUGAUGAUGACUGUGAACAGACGACCUUCUGGAGUCUUAGAUGAUAAAAUAUCUUUACUGGAACCUGAACCUGAACUGGAAGGUAUUUAUCAUUCAUUAACCAAUUUUCUAACUGUUCUUCUGGUAUUGAGACAAAGACUAUAAACACAAAUAUUUGGUUUCUAAAAAUAACAUGAACCCCCUGAUUAACCUGAGUUGAAAUAAUUUGAAAACCUUUCAACUUAUAAUAGAUCUUUACGAAAUUGAAAACGAAUAAGGCUGUUAGUUUUCUCAUUUGAAUUGUUUUAUAUUGUCAUUUCGGGGCCUUUUAUAGCUGACUAUGUGGUAUGGGCUUUGCUCAUUGUUGAAGGCAGUAUGGUGAUCUAUAGUUGUUAAUUACUGUGUCAUUUUGGUCUCUUGUGGAGAGUUGUCUCAUUGGCAAUCAUAUCUCAUCUUAUUUUUUAGUUCACCUGGCCCGAAGGGCCAAGUGAGCUUUUCCCAUCACUUUGUGUUCGGCGUCCGGCGUCGUUAACUUUUGCAAAAAUCUUCUCCUCUGAAACUGCUGGGCCAAAUUAAACCAAACUUAUCCACAAUCAUCAUUGGGGUAUCUAGUUUAAAAAAUGUGUCCGGUGACCUGGCCAACCAACCAAGAUGGUCGCCAUGGCUAAAAAUAGAACAUAAGGGUAAAAUGCAGUUUUUGGCUUAUAACUCAAAAACCAAAGCAUUUAGAGCAAAUCUGACAUGGGGGUAAUAUUGUUUAUCAGGUCAAGAUCUAUCUGCCUUGAAAUUUUCAGAUGAAUCGGACAUUUCGUUGUUGGGUUGCUGCCCCUGAAAUGGUAAUUUUAAGGAAAUUUUGCUGUUUUUGGUUAUUAUCUUGAAUAUUAUUAUAGAUAGAGAUAAACUGUAAACAGCAAUAAUGUACAGCAAAGUAAGACCUGAAAAGAAGUCAACAUGACCAAAAUGGUCAAUUGACCCCCUAAGGAGUUAUUGCCCUUUAUAUAGUCAUUUUUUAACAAUUUUCACAAAAUUUGUAAAAUUUUACUAACAUUUUCCACUGUAACUACUGGGCCAAGUUCAUUAUAGAUAGAGAUAAUUGUAAGCAGCAAGAAUGUUCAGUAAAGUAAGAUCUACAAACACAUCACCAUCGCCAAACCACAAGUUUGUCUUGAAUCCAUCAGACAGUGUGUCCUUUGUUUAAUAUUCACAUAGACCAAGGUGAGCGACACAGGCUCUUUAGAGCCUCUAGUUUGUAAAUCUUAGUAAUCUUCUCCUCUGAAACUACUGGGCCAAAUUUAACCAAACUUAGCCAUAAUCGUCAUUGGGGUAUCUGGUUAAAAAAAUGUGUCCAGUAACUCGGCCAACAAACCAAGAUGGCCGCCAUGGCUAAAAAUAGAACAUAGGGGUAAAAUGCAGUUUUUGGCUUAUCACUCAAAAACCAAAGCAUUAGAGCAAAUCUGACAGGAAAUAAAAUUGUUGAUCAGGUCACGAUCUAUCUGCCCUGGAAUUUUCAGAUGAAUCGGAUAAUCGGUUGUUAGGUUGCUGCCCCUGAAUUGGUAAUUUUGAGGAAAUUUUGCUGUUUUUUUGUUAUUAUCUUGAAUAUUAUUAUAGAUAGAGAUAAACUGUAAACAGCAAUAAUGUACAGCAAAGUAAGAACUAAAAAUAAGUCAGUAUGACCAAAAUAGUCAAUUGACCCCCUAAGGAGUUAUUGCCCUUCAUAGUCAAUUUUUAACAAUUUUCUUAAAAUUUGAAGAUUUUCAAUAACAUUUUCCACAGAAAGUACUGUUAUAGAUAGAGAUAAUUGUAAGCAGCAAGAAUGUUUAGUAAAGUAAGAUCUACAAACACAUCACCAUCACCAAAACACAAUUUUGUCAUGAAUCCACCUGUGUCCAUUGUUUAAUAUUCACAUAGACCAAGGUGAGCGACACAGGCUCUUUAGAGCCUCUAGUUAUAUUGACCAAUGAGAAUGAGUUAACAUAUGAAUGUCUGCUAGUGUAUUUUUUUUUUAAAAAUAAUCUUGUUAUAAUAAUGUCUUCCUGAAGUAAAAGCAUGUUAGGUUCACUGAACAAAAUGAUUUUAUAAAGGAUUAAGUCUAUCAUAAACUUUCAGUUAUCUGUUCUUACAUAUUUCAGACACCAGUUUGGAUGCUAAGGCAGCAGAAAUGGCAUCAUUACUGGGUCGAAGGUCAGACAUGGAUGAUGACAAUGCAAGUGAUGGUCGUGCAUCAACAAUCACAACACCAAUUACACAGAGAAGGUAACAUUAUAUGAAGUACCCAAAGAUGGACCUAAAAUAAGUGGUCUUAUCAUACAUGUGGUUGCUUUAUAUAGGCAGUCUCUUAGUGGUCUCAUCAUUCUCAAGCAGGUUUGACAAUAAAACUUUAUGUAUUUGUAUAUUGGGUUGGAAUUUAGAAAACACAACAAAAAAAGACAUCAAAUGUUUGUCUUACACAAAAAAAAUUCUGGAAAAGUCCCAAUAAUUGAUAAACAGGAUAGUCCUAUAAUGGAACAUGUACCAUACUCUCUUAAUUUACAGACAUUUUAAAAAGAAGAUCUUGAAGAAAGAUAAAUUUAGCUGCUUCUACAGUGCUCAAUCCAUGUACAUGAAUUGUGAAUUACCAUAAUUGCAUCAAAUGUUAAAAAAAGAUACACUGAAUGUUAUGAUAAACUAAUCUAUGUUCAGAAUAUAAUAACAUUAUUUUUUUAAUUGCAGAAACAGAGGGAAAUCACCUAAUAUUGAAC
RNAcentral lists this long non-coding RNA (2743 nucleotides) under Mytilus galloprovincialis (Mediterranean mussel). Lineage: Eukaryota; Metazoa; Mollusca; Bivalvia; Mytilida; Mytilidae. The record is from RNAcentral.